Molecule: ribosomal RNA, 253 nt
Filed under: uncultured bacterium
Lineage: Bacteria
Description: partial 16S ribosomal RNA
Rfam family: Bacterial small subunit ribosomal RNA
Source: RNAcentral
UACGUAGGGCGCAAGCGUUAUCCGGAAUUAUUGGGCGUAAAGAGCUUGUAGGUGGUUUGUCGCGUCUGCUGUGAAAAUCCGAGGCCCAACCUCGGACUUGCAGUGGGUACGGGCAGACUAGAGUGUGGUAGGGGAGACUGGAAUUCCUGGUGUAGCGGUGGAAUGCGCAGAUAUCAGGAGGAACACCGAUGGCGAAGGCAGGUCUCUGGGCCAUUACUGACACUGAGAAGCGAAAGCAUGGGGAGCGAACAGG